GAGUUUGAUCCUGGCUCAGAAUCAACGCUGGCGGCGUGCCUCAGACAUGCAAGUCGAACGAUUAAAGCUCCCUUCGGGGAGUGCAUAAAGUGGCGCACGGGUGAGUAACACGUAAGUAAUCUACCCUCGAGUGGGGAAUAACGUCCGGAAACGGACGCUAAUACCGCAUAAUGCAGCGGCACCGCAAGGUGACAGUUGUUAAAGAUUUAUCGCUUGAGGAGGAGCUUGCGGCAGAUUAGCUUGUUGGUAAGGUAAUGGCUUACCAAGGCAACGAUCUGUAGCCGGUCUAAGAGGACGGUCGGUCACACUGACACUGAAUAACGGGUCAGACUCCUACGGGAGGCAGCAGUCGGGAAUUUUGGGCAAUGGGCGAAAGCCUGACCCAGCAACGCCGCGUGAAGGAUGAAGUAUUUCGGUAUGUAAACUUCGAAAGAAUGGGAAGAAUAAAUGACGGUACCAUUUAUAAGGUCCGGCUAACUACGUGCCAGCAGCCGCGGUAAUACGUAGGGACCAAGCGUUGUUCGGAUUUACUGGGCGUAAAGGGCGCGUAGGCGGCAUGACAAGUCACUUGUGAAAUCUCUGGGCUUAACCCAGAACGGCCAAGUGAUACUGUCGCGCUAGAGUGCGGAAGGGGCAAUCGGAAUUCUCGGUGUAGCGGUGAAAUGCGUAGAUAUCGAGAGGAACACCUGAGGUGAAGACGGGUUGCUGGGCCGACACUGACGCUGAGUGCGCGAAAGCCAGGGGAGCAAACGGGAUUAGAUACCCCGGUAGUCCUGGCCCUAAACGAUGAAUACUUGGUG
RNAcentral lists this ribosomal RNA (800 nucleotides) under uncultured bacterium. Its description in RNAcentral is "bacterial SSU rRNA". It matches the Rfam family "Bacterial small subunit ribosomal RNA", at positions 9 to 822 of the family's 1533-position model. The record is from RNAcentral.